ACCUGGGUGGCUCAGUCAGUUGAGCAUCUGACUUUGGCUCAGGUCAUGGUCUGCAGUUUGUGAGUUCAAGCCCCACAUCGGGCU
Molecule: transfer RNA, 84 nt
Filed under: Felis catus (domestic cat)
Lineage: Eukaryota; Metazoa; Chordata; Mammalia; Carnivora; Felidae
Also listed under: 4 other names
Rfam family: tRNA
About the family: Transfer RNA (tRNA) molecules are approximately 80 nucleotides in length. Their secondary structure includes four short double-helical elements and three loops (D, anti-codon, and T loops). Further hydrogen bonds mediate the characteristic L-shaped molecular structure. tRNAs have two regions of fundamental functional importance: the anti-codon, which is responsible for specific mRNA codon recognition, and the 3' end, to which the tRNAs corresponding amino acid is attached (by aminoacyl-tRNA synthetases). tRNAs cope with the degeneracy of the genetic code in two manners: having more than one tRNA (with a specific anti-codon) for a particular amino acid; and 'wobble' base-pairing, i.e. permitting non-standard base-pairing at the 3rd anti-codon position.
Source: Rfam by way of RNAcentral